GUGUCCAUUGGGACCGCUGACCGACACGCACGAGGCCUAUCAGCGACGGGACGAGGUCAAGGGUUAACGAGGCCCGCUGAGGAGGAUGCCAUACAUUGGCCACGCAGUCAGUGGGGGUUUCUGGGUAAUAAGUUGGCGAAGAAACCACCAGCGUAGUGCAGAGUGCAAGUCGAGCGAUCCAGCGCCACGGGCGUGAUAACGGGCUGCAGGUCAAGGUUCAUCGCGUCGACAGAAAAGGCUGCUGGUGGCAGACGUCCCACACAGAGAAGAGCAAGCGACCCGGUUACAGCCGUGUGACCCCUGCGGGUGGGAUUCAAUCAUCUGCAAAGUACAAAUUGAACUGGAUUGAAUGUUUAUAGUGCGCGUGUGUCUGAGAAGGUGUCUGUCGGUCGUCGUCCGACCAAUAAAACGUUCUGUUUCCUUCAUUCACGCCUUUUGUCUCUGAUCUGAACGGUGUCCCCUCGGCUCCUGUGAGGUUCCUCCUCGGGUCGAACGUCCUACCGACCUCGGGGAGUCGGAUCCGAAGCUGAAGCUUCUCCUCCCUCCAUCUCUCACGUCCCUGCUUCGUUUGUCACCUGCAGUAACACUCGCUGUGGGUUUGAGAGCCCUAGGUCAUGUCUCCCUAUUCGACGUCUAGUUCCUCCCAAUUAGCAGGGAGCCUUUGAUGAGUUGGUGACGGAUCAUCUCGGGGGAACCGGAGUGAACACGUUGGAGAUGAAUCAAAUAAAACCAAAUGAGGUGAUGAACAUACGCGGCUCUGACAUGGCGCUUGCUGUAGAAUCGGAUGUGUGUGGAAAUGUUUCAAAGGCUUUUCAAAGGACGAGGAAUCCAACAGGACGUCGUCGCUCAUCUGCUACACGGAGUUAUCCUCGAUGAUGGAAGUUAGAUUUGAUUUAAUGAAACGCGCUGGAUCUCUUUAUUCAAAUUGAGGAUUAGGUUGUUGAAGGAUUUAUGCGAUGGAAUUGUUUUUCUGGGGGGGGAGGAUUCAGCCUGACAACCACCAGCUGAGACACACAUUUCUCUCGUGUGGACAUGUUGCAUUCUUUGUCUCCAUUCAUCACACAGAGGAGAUGAAGAUACUUCGGCGGAAAGCUUCCCAUUGGCUCCUCGUGUUCCAUUCCUCCACGCGACCUUCACGUGUCCUCAUUCCUCAGUGCCGGGGUGGAUCCAACACCUCCCCCAGCAUCACCUGGAUGGGAGCAGAGACGGCCUGUGAGGACCGUUUGUCACGGAGGACACGCGAGAACAUUCCAUAGAACUAAUGCAGACUUCUGUGAAGCCUCCAGACAUUCCCACGUCAUUUCAUUAGUUUCCCUCCUUAUUGGGAGCCCGACCAUCAGGUUUCUCCUAAACUCAACAUUAGAUGGUUCAUUGUACGUAAUGAACGCAUGAAUAUGACCAGAUAAUCACAAUCAGCUUCAUUGAGGUUGAUUCUCGUGUUUCUGUGACAUCAGAGGAAGCGUAAAGAAGCUUGAAUAAAAGGUGAAGCUGAUCAUGAACG
This is a long non-coding RNA of Gasterosteus aculeatus aculeatus (three-spined stickleback), 1501 nucleotides long. NCBI's taxonomy places the organism in Eukaryota, Metazoa, Chordata, Actinopteri, Perciformes, Gasterosteidae. The record is from Ensembl.